GACGAACGCUGGCGGCGUGCUUAACACAUGCAAGUCGAACGGAAAGGCCCUGCUUUUGUGGGGUGCUCGAGUGGCGAACGGGUGAGUAACACGUGAGUAACCUGCCCUUGACUUUGGGAUAACUUCAGGAAACUGGGGCUAAUACCGGAUAGGAGCUCCUGCAGCAUGGUGGGGGUUGGAAAGUUUCGGCGGUUGGGGAUGGACUCGCGGCUUAUCAGCUUGUUGGUGGGGUAGUGGCUUACCAAGGCUUUGACGGGUAGCCGGCCUGAGAGGGUGACCGGGCACAUUGGGACUGAGAUACGGCCCAGACUCCUACGGGAGGCAGCAGUGGGGAAUAUUGCAGAAUGGGCGGAAGCCUGAUGCAGCAACGCCGCGUGCGGGAUGACGGCCUUCGGGUUGUAAACCGCUUUCGCCUGUGACGAAGCGUGAGUGACGGUAAUGGGUAAAGAAGCACCGGCUAACUACGUG
RNAcentral lists this ribosomal RNA (468 nucleotides) under uncultured bacterium. RNAcentral describes it as "partial 16S ribosomal RNA". It matches the Rfam family "Bacterial small subunit ribosomal RNA", at positions 28 to 507 of the family's 1533-position model. The record is from RNAcentral.